GAUGAACGCUAGCUACAGGCUUAACACAUGCAAGUCGAGGGGAAACGACAUCGAAAGCUUGCUUUUGGUGGGCGUCGACCGGCGCACGGGUGAGUAACGCGUAUCCAACCUGCCCACCACUUGGGGAUAACCUUGCGAAAGUAAGACUAAUACCCAAUGAUAUCCCACGAAGGCAUCCGAAUGGGAUUAAAGAUUUAUCGGUGAUGGAUGGGGAUGCGUCUGAAUUAGCUUGUUGGCGGGGUAACGGCCCACCAAGGCGACGAUCAGUAGGGGUUCUGAGAGGAAGGUCCCCCACAAUUGGAACCUGAGACACGGUCCAAAACUCCUACGGGAGGCAGCAGUGAGGAAUAUU
RNAcentral lists this ribosomal RNA (352 nucleotides) under uncultured bacterium. RNAcentral's name for it is "bacterial SSU rRNA". It matches the Rfam family "Bacterial small subunit ribosomal RNA", at positions 28 to 365 of the family's 1533-position model. The record is from RNAcentral.